This 439-nucleotide ribosomal RNA is filed under the name uncultured bacterium. RNAcentral's name for it is "partial 16S ribosomal RNA". It matches the Rfam family "Bacterial small subunit ribosomal RNA", at positions 338 to 795 of the family's 1533-position model. The record is from RNAcentral.
CCUACGGGGGACAGCAGUGGGGAAUAUUGCACAAUGGGGGAAACCCUGAUGCAGCGACGCCGCGUGAGUGACGAAGGAUCUCGGUACGUAAAGCUCUAUCAGCAGGGAAGAUAAUGACGGUACCUGACCCAGAAGCCCCGGCUAACUACGUGCCAGCAGCCGCGGGAAUACGUAGGGGGCAAGCGUUAUCCGGAUUUACUGGGUGUAAAGGGAGCGUAGACGGCAGCACAAGUCUGGAGUGAAAUCCCGGGGCUUAACCCCGGAACUGCUUGGAAAACUGUGGGGCUGGGGUGCAGAGGGGUAAGCGGAAUGCCUAGUGUAGCGGUGAAAUGCGUAGAUAUUAGGAGGAACACCGGUGGCGAAGGCGGCUUACUGGACUGUAACUGACGUUGAGGCACGAAAGCGUGGGGAGCAAACAGGAUUAGAUACCCCGGUAGUC